AUGACAAAAAUUACUACAAUUACAAUCCUUUGAAUGACAUACAUUUUAAAGCAGGUGACACACAAUCAAGCAUAAGGAAACUUCUGCAAGGCGUAUUAACGAAGAUAAAGCGGAUAAAUUAUUCUUCAACAAAUUCAGACUAGAAAUAACAGUCAGGAAAAUAUUUACAUCAUGUGGAAGACACUUGUUAUUGUAGCAUAUCUACUGAUAAUCAACGCUACAUCAGCCAGCGCAGCAGUGUGUGGCAACAGAUGGUACGAUAUCAAUGUCAAAACCUGCUGUGCUGGUGUGCUAAAUAAUGGGGCAAGAAAAUUAUGUUGCGGGACCAAAGCUUAUUCUGAUAGUUUACAAACGUGUUGUGCUGGUGUGCUAAAUAAUGGGGCAAGAAAAUUAUGUUGCGGGACCAAAGCUUAUUCUGAUAAUUUCCAAACGUGUUGUGCUGGUGUGCUAAAUAAUGGGGCAAGAAAAUUAUGUUGCGGGACCAAAGCUUAUUCCGAUAAUUUCCAAACGUGUUGUGCUGGUGUGCUAAAUAAUGGGGCAAGAAAAUUAUGUUGCGGGACCAAAGCUUAUUCUGAUAGUUUACAAACGUGUUGUGCUGGUGUGCUAAAUAA
Molecule: long non-coding RNA, 611 nt
Organism: Ruditapes philippinarum (Manila clam)
Lineage: Eukaryota; Metazoa; Mollusca; Bivalvia; Venerida; Veneridae
Exons: 3
Source: RefSeq, a predicted model, not a curated record